This 497-nucleotide ribosomal RNA is filed under the name uncultured bacterium. RNAcentral's name for it is "partial 16S ribosomal RNA". It matches the Rfam family "Bacterial small subunit ribosomal RNA", at positions 28 to 507 of the family's 1533-position model. The record is from RNAcentral.
GAUGAACGCUGGCGGCGUGCCUAAUACAUGCAAGUCGAGCGAACGGACGAGAAGCUUGCUUCUCUGAUGUUAGCGGCGGACGGGUGAGUAACACGUGGAUAACCUACCUAUAAGACUGGGAUAACUUCGGGAAACCGUAGCUAAUACCGGAUAAUAUUUUGAACCGCAUGGUUCAAAAGUGAAAGACGGUCUUGCUGUCACUUAUAGAUGGAUCCGCGCUGCAUUAGCUAGUUGGUAAGGUAACGGCUUACCAAGGCAACGAUGCAUAGCCGACCUGAGAGGGUGAGCGGCCACACCGGAACUGAGACACGGUCCAGACUCCUACGGGAGGCAGCAGUAGGGAAUCUUCCGCAAUGGGCGAAAGCCUGACGGAGCAACGCCGCGUGAGUGAUGAAGGUCUUCGGAUCGUAAAACUCUGUUAUUAGGGAAGAACAUAUGUGUAAGUAACUGUGCACAUCUUGACGGUACCUAAUCAGAAAGCCACGGCUAACUACGUG